This 82-nucleotide transfer RNA is filed under the name Streptomyces sp. T12. RNAcentral's name for it is "tRNA-Thr". Lineage: Bacteria; Bacillati; Actinomycetota; Actinomycetes; Kitasatosporales; Streptomycetaceae. The record is from RNAcentral.
UUCGUGCAGGCAUCCGGUCUCUUCGCUGUACCCCGCACUCGUAAUGCGUAGGUCUCGGGUUCGAAUCCCGAAGGCGGCUCCA